This 493-nucleotide ribosomal RNA is filed under the name uncultured bacterium. RNAcentral describes it as "bacterial SSU rRNA". It matches the Rfam family "Bacterial small subunit ribosomal RNA", at positions 28 to 362 of the family's 1533-position model. The record is from RNAcentral.
GACGAACGCUGGCGGCGUGCUUAACACAUGCAAGUCGAACGGUCCGAUGCUCGACACCGAGUGUUUCUGCAAAAACGAUGUGAAGCCGGCGGGAAAGCGAUAAGCUAACCUGCAAGGAAAGGCAAGGGGAACUGAGAAGAGCUUUCCCAGGCUUUUUAUAGGGAUUAACACAUUGCCAGGCAGGAGCGCCGGGUGUUGAGCAUCGGAUAGUGGCGAACGGGUGAGUAACGCGUGGGCAAUCUGCCCUUCAGAUGGGGACAACAUCCCGAAAGGGGUGCUAAUACCGAAUACGAUCCUUCCACCGCAUGGAGGGGGGAUGAAAGAUGGCCUCUAUAUAUAAGCUAUCGCUGAAGGAUGAGCCUGCGUCUGAUUAGCUUGUUGGUGGGGUAACGGCCGUACCAAGGCGAUGAUCAGUAGCCGGUCUGAGAGGAUGAACGGCCACAUUGGGACUGAGACACGGCCCAAACUCCUACGGGAGGCAGCAGUGGGGAAU